CUCAUCAGGAGGAGAGUCCUGAGUAAGGAAGAGACCUGAGGGAAGGGAGUUAUAGGUCAAGGUCCAGUUCAAAAAUAGGUAGCGGUCAGCUUCUGUGUUGUGUUCCAAGGAAAGAGGAUCUUGUUGCUUUUAAAAGACCCUAAGGAGGAGCUGUGUCUCUCUUCUGCGAAGGAGAGAGAGAAAAAGAGGAGUCAGGUGGGAUAUUGUGGGACAGCAUUUAUUAAAACUUGGUCUUAAUCAGAAUCGUGUAGAAAACUGAAGUUCUGGAAGAGGCUGCAAUCUAGGAGAAGGGUACAUAAGUCCCAGUCAGCAAGGGGUGACAAACAAAGGCAUGUACCUGGAAGGGUGAAGGGUACCCUAAGUCAGCCCGGCUUUGAGGCCAUUCCUUUGCUUUGUGAGUUUGAAUUGCUUCAGGCUGUGAAAGACAUUGGACCUAAGUAUCUCACUUCCUGGGGCCAAAUCCUGCACUGCUGUCUGCUGCAACAUCAUUGUAGUUUAAGAAAAUCCAGAAGAUUAACUUAAAACUGUGUUUCUCCAAGUAUCUCUACUAGGCAUGGUUUUUUGACCACUCUACCAUAUUUGUUUGGGGGAGAGGAGAGGCAGAGGGAAUUAAGUUUGAUUGCAUCUCUGGCUGUAUAUAUACAUUCAUAUAACCUGGAAGAAUUUGCAACCUUUCCUCACUGCUCCCACCUCCCAGCAACACUGGGAAGCACAGCCAGCACUCCCCAGACACCCCAACCCCCAUUUAUUAACACAAGACCUUCUUUAUUUCUUUUUUUUUUUUUCGCUUCAUUUUAUUUUAUCCCUCAGUGAGUGACUUCCUUCAUUUCACCACACUUCCCCACCCCCAGUUUUUUUCCACUUGCCAUUUCAUUACGUCCCAGCAUCAUGUUCCCACCCUCCUCCUCCACUCCCCUCCCUGCAGACUAAUCUCUCGCACAUCCCUACCUACAGCAGGGAUAGAAGCCUGUCCUGGAUCACCAGCCUGUAAUGGUAACUCACAGCUGUAGCUCCUAGUCAGGUGCCUGCUUGCCAGUCCUCUAGUGGCAAGUCACUGCUGUGCAGGCAGGGGACAGUCAGAGAAGGUUUUUAACCUUGAGGGGUGCCUGUAGAUGUGCGGGGAUACUACUCCAGUGUGCUGUAAUUAGUGUCAGAGCAGACUUGAUUGAUUGAGCCUGCUGACAAGUGCUAAUUAGCGCAUUCCAACAGCCUCCAUGUAUCAUGUGUUCAGCACCCCCACGCUUCACAGUGGUGGUGGUGGGGGGGGGGGAAUGCUUUGACUAAAGUUCAUUCAACAAAGUUUGGUUGGAGCACCCUCACCACCAUUUUGAGGCAUGGGGAUGGUGAAUACACUAGAUACUGUGGGCACUUUGAUUGGAGCAGCUCUUGGAAUGCUCUAGUUAGAGCACCCAAGUCUCAGAGCACGUAAAAACACUCAAGGUGUCUGCUCCAAACUCGAACUAGAACUUACACUGAUCAACAUUUGAGCAGCUCAAAGUGCAACUUGUAACAAGGCCCUUAUACUGACACUUAUGAAGGGAGAAUCCAUCCUUGUAUACCUAAACACUACCAAGACCAUUUAUAUUCGUGGUAUCCUGUUUGUAUUUCUUCAUGUGGCAAUGAUAUGUUCUUGCAUGUGCAGUUAUGGUCUUGUUUUUGUGUACAAGAACAUGGCCCUGUGAAAUGUUAAACACCUUCAACACCAGCUGAAGUAGGAUUAUGCCCACUUAAUGACCUUGCAAGAUGAGUCCCAUAUUAAAAGAGCAAUUUGUAAACUUGUUUUGAAAAGAUUAAGCUCUGAUCCAAAAUAUAGAUUGGUGGGUGCUGCUUUUUUAGUCAGUGGCAUCAUUCAUGUGUUUGGAGAUAUAUGCAUAUGCAGGAUUGAAUGGUCAGGUUCAUUUAUUUUAACAACCUCAUAGUUCCCUUGUACCCCUGCUUUAUGUGUGGCAGAUAAGAAUGUCUUGAUGUUUUGGAGUAAUGUGCUUUGUGUGACAGAGUUGUUGUGUAGUUUUCAGAAUAGCUUAUAUAAGUAUUUAGUAUGGUUUGGAUAGGGAUGACCCUUCCUUGAGCAGGAGGUUCCUUGAGUCCCUUCCAUCCCUGCUUUUCUAUGGUUUUAUGAAAAAUUACGGCUUCACUUCUGCAUGCAGCAUUCAAAAGUGGAACUGUUGUGUGAUCAACAAAACAAAGGGGAUAAGAAAGGCUUUGCAAAAGCAAGUGUGUUUGGAAUCAAGUUAAAGGCUGGGAGACACCAGAUAUCCGGUGAAGGGAAAGAGCUGCACAAAGAGAAGAAUGAUUAAGUUCUAAUAGAAGGCAGCCAUCAGUAGUGGUCCAAUUUUUGGCCAGGCCAGAGCCACAGUAUGGCUUUUGAGCCUAACUUUUGGGGCCACAAUGGCUUGUUCUGCCCUACAAUAAGCGUUUCUAAUAUUGGCCCUCUCACUAGAUCCAUGUGCCUAAGCACAAGGCUUUACCAUUUACUCAUCUAACAGCUGUUAUUUCCAAUACUCAGGGCUGCCUCCUGAUCGAUGAGGAGUCCGCAGCAACCCUUUGGACUUGGUAACGGGGGUCCCUCAACACCAGAUACCCCCACCAUAUUCUGGGCAUCUCGGGUACUUCUUUGGUGUGGAAGAAACAAGCCUAUUACUUUUUUUAUUUGCUAGGGCAUAGUUAUGGAGAUAGUUUUUACACCUCACCGGAAGGCAGUACUAGCCUGAGGAAGCUAGCCACAGAUGAGCUGCUGCUUCUGGUUGCUGGGGAUGCAGUUGGAUUGGUGUUCUGGGGAGGAGAUUGGACUGAGCCAGAUGCAACAUACAGCAUAUACCUGUUUCCUUUGUCAUGCAGACCUCAACCAGACAUCUCAUUAUUCACAAUGUAAGGACCAAUGCCCAAAUGGCAGUCUGGAGAACAGACAUCUUUAACUUAUUGCCUUGGUAUGGAAACAUGUCAGACAAGGGAUGCACUGGAGAGCAGAGGGAAUGUAGUGCUCUGGGCGUUGCUUCUUCAUAGGGGCCUACAUUUUAUGAUGUCUUUGGAAGUCUGGAUCAUGGUCUUGGGCACCAUCAGAAUUCCACUUAAAUUGAAUGGAUGUUUCAGGCAUGCAGCACCUUUUAGGACCUGGGGUAUUGGUCCUGUGAAUACAUGUCAUGGAAACAGACCCAUUUAUCUCAGGACCUGGUCCUGUGAACCCUGACAAAAUAAAUCAAAUUACCCAGCACUUCAAACAAGUAAGAAACAAAACUUUGUCAAAACUCUAUGAACACAGCAGACUGAACUUUUUCAUACUUACAAUUUUCACAAUUAUACUGAAGACUCCAAAACAAUACAGCACAACAGACAAUUUUCACUAAUUUGCUUAAAUGAGGCCAGGAGGACCAUCUGUCAGGAAUCCACAAUGACUCCCAAUUUCAUAUACAGGUGAGUUUAAUAAAGUAAGUCUCAGAAGAUUUGAAAAAUGCCAGUCAGACAACCACAGCACAAAAAAAAAUGGUUUAAGUCAGUAAGAUGUAGGAAUACUAAUUUCACACUUGAGAGAGCAGAAAAAAAUUAUUAUAUAUGUGUACAGUCCAAAAUUUUCAAAUGUUUGAUCUCUAACUUUGUAGCUUUUCUCCUUGGUAUGUGUGCUCCCAAGCCCUUGCCAACAUAUCUUCCAAGAACAUGAAAGGCUUUUCAAGCUUGUGUUUAAAACACAGAGCAUUUUUGACCAAGCUGAGCACUGACUGCCCUUCUGUGUACAUGGAAACUGGAAUUUCCAGCUCACAAGGACACUCUCAUGGACCCAGAGGGAGACAACCAUCAAUCUUCAGCUCCCUCUGUGCAAAAAUGAAGUUUAUUUCCUACCUAUGGGGACUUUUUGCCAUCUUGUACCAGCUAUACUUUUCCCAGGGCCUGACAAAGAGACUUUGAUCCUAAAAGUUUGCAGAAAAGGACAAUUUUCUUGUGAUUUCCCAAUUAGUCUAAAAAAAGGUAUCAUUUUGGAACCAAGAGUUCUAGUUUUUUGUAUGUCAAAAGAGUUUUUGACACUGUAGUCUUUUCUCUGAGGGUAAAUAGAGACUUUGGAUUUCUCCUUGAACAAAGCCUUUUAUCCUGGGAUCCUACACAAGGCCAACCCUUUUGUCCCCCAUUAAGUACUUGUGAAAUAUCUGGAAUAACACUUUUCCCUGGAGUAGUAAUCCAUGUAAUUGCUAUUCAAACUGUGCAUGUAAACAACUGUCCUACAAACCUGUGUUGAUGCAAGUCAAAAUGUAAGGCAAUCAGCGCUCCCCUCCCUUCCUUCCUCCCACCCACCUCCGGUUAAACCUGACUCUGUUUAUAGCCUAAAAAGAGAACCCUGUUGUUUUUAGGUGCAUCUCCCUCUCUGUGUGAAAAACAACCAAACACGUAUGUUUUAGGCAGUGAGUUGCUCUGGAGCCAGGGUCAGGAUCU
Alligator mississippiensis (American alligator) is the source of this 4419-nucleotide long non-coding RNA. RefSeq lists it as uncharacterized. The record is from RefSeq and is a predicted model, not a curated record. The transcript is spliced from 3 exons. NCBI's taxonomy places the organism in Eukaryota, Metazoa, Chordata, Crocodylia, Alligatoridae.